Molecule: ribosomal RNA, 482 nt
Filed under: uncultured bacterium
Lineage: Bacteria
Description: partial 16S ribosomal RNA
Rfam family: Bacterial small subunit ribosomal RNA
Source: RNAcentral
AUUGAACGCUGGCGGCAUGCCUUACACAUGCAAGUCGAACGGUAACGGGCCUUCGGGUGCCGACGAGUGGCGAACGGGUGAGUAAUACAUCGGAACGUGCCCGAUCGUGGGGGAUAACGAGGCGAAAGCUUUGCUAAUACCGCAUACGAUCUACGGAUGAAAGCCGGGGACCGCAAGGCCUUGCGCGGACGGAGCGGCCGAUGGCAGAUUAGGUAGUUGGUGGGAUAAAAGCUUACCAAGCCGACGAUCUGUAGCUGGUCUGAGAGGAUGAUCAGCCACACUGGGACUGAGACACGGCCCAGACUCCUACGGGAGGCAGCAGUGGGGAAUUUUGGACAAUGGGCGCAAGCCUGAUCCAGCCAUGCCGCGUGCAGGAUGAAGGCCUUCGGGCUGUAAACUGCUUUUGUACGGAACGAAAAGCCUUCUUUUAAUACAGGAGGGUCAUGACGGUACCGUAAGAAUAAGCACCGGCUAACUACGUG